GCAGCUUGCUGCUUCGCUGACGAGUGGCGGACGGGUGAGUAAUGUCUGGGAAGCUGCCUGAUGGAGGGGGAUAACUACUGGAAACGGUAGCUAAUACCGCAUAAUGUCGCAAGACCAAAGAGGGGGACCUUCGGGCCUCUUGCCAUCGGAUGUGCCCAGAUGGGAUUAGCUUGUUGGUGGGGUAACGGCUCACCAAGGCGACGAUCCCUAGCUGGUCUGAGAGGAUGACCAGCCACACUGGAACUGAGACACGGUCCAGACUCCUACGGGAGGCAGCAGUGGGGAAUAUUGCACAAUGGGCGCAAGCCUGAUGCAGCCAUGCCGCGUGUAUGAAGAAGGCCUUCGGGUUGUAAAGUACUUUCAGCGGGGAGGAAGGGAGUAAAGUUAAUACCUUUGCUCAUUGACGUUACCCGCAGAAGAAGCACCGGCUAACUCCGUGCCAGCAGCCGCGGUAAUACGGAGGGUGCAAGCGUUAAUCGGAAUUACUGGGCGUAAAGCGCACGCAGGCGGUUUGUUAAGUCAGAUGUGAAAUCCCCGGGCUCAACCUGGGAACUGCAUCUGAUACUGGCAAGCUUGAGUCUCGUAGAGGGGGGUAGAAUUCCAGGUGUAGCGGUGAAAUGCGUAGAGAUCUGGAGGAAUACCGGUGGCGAAGGCGGCCCCCUGGACGAAGACUGACGCUCAGGUGCGAAAGCGUGGGGAGCAAACAGGAUUAGAUACCCUGGUAGUCCACGCCGUAAACGAUGUCGACUUGGAGGUUGUGCCCUUGAGGCGUGGCUUCCGGAGCUAACGCGUUAAGUCGACCGCCUGGGGAGUACGGCCGCAAGGUUAAAACUCAAAUGAAUUGACGGGGGCCCGCACAAGCGGUGGAGCAUGUGGUUUAAUUCGAUGCAACGCGAAGAACCUUACCUGGUCUUGACAUCCACGGAAGUUUUCAGAGAUGAGAAUGUGCCUUCGGGAACCGUGAGACAGGUGCUGCAUGGCUGUCGUCAGCUCGUGUUGUGAAAUGUUGGGUUAAGUCCCGCAACGAGCGCAACCCUUAUCCUUUGUUGCCAGCGGUCCGGCCGGGAACUCAAAGGAGACUGCCAGUGAUAAACUGGAGGAAGGUGGGGAUGACGUCAAGUCAUCAUGGCCCUUACGACCAGGGCUACACACGUGCUACAAUGGCGCAUACAAAGAGAAGCGACCUCGCGAGAGCAAGCGGACCUCAUAAAGUGCGUCGUAGUCCGGAUUGGAGUCUGCAACUCGACUCCAUGAAGUCGGAAUCGCUAGUAAUCGUGGAUCAGAAUGCCACGGUGAAUACGUUCCCGGGCCUUGUACACACCGCCCGUCACACCAUGGGAGUGGGUUGCAAAAGAAGUAGGUAGCUUAACCUUCGGGAGGGCGCUUACCACUUUGUGAUUCAUGACUGGGGUGAAGUCGUAACAAGGUA
Molecule: ribosomal RNA, 1429 nt
Filed under: metagenome
Description: bacterial SSU rRNA
Rfam family: Bacterial small subunit ribosomal RNA
Source: RNAcentral